AUGAUCACAAUUAUAUAUCUCCUAUAUUAGCUUAUUCUAUAUACACCAUAGCAAUUCCAAGAAAUUGUUCACUUCCACAGAGUGAAAGAUCUUCAUUCAUGAGAUCAGUCCUUAGAAAGUGGAGGAAAGUUGAUGAAGUUGAUGACACGUUAGAACUGACUUUGUGUGAUGUUUUUGGUGACAAGAUUCAAGAAACUAUAAACAAAGGAUUUGAUCAUCACUUUUGAUAAUCAAACUAAUGAAGAUGAAUGGAAAAUCUUAUCCACUUUCUCUGUGUGGUACAAUAAUAAACGUUUAAAUAUAGUGGACCGACUACCAUAUCAUUAUUUUCAAUAGAACUGUUAUUGAUAAUUCAGAAUUGAUGUCCGCUAAUCACUUCAUUGAUUCAGGUUCUGUAAGUUCUAGUCACCACCCGAAAGAAUUUUCACAACAUGACAUCCUUCUAAACCUUUGUCGAUACUUUGAUAAUCAAUGAAGUAUUAGUGGAGAUUACUUCUGAAUUAUCAAUAACCGUUUCAUUGAAGAUAAUGAUAUGGUAGUCCUUGUCGACCAUCUUUAAACGUCUAUCAUUGUAACACACAGUGAAAGUGGAUAAGAGUUUUUAUUCAUCUUCUAUCAAAAGUGUCGAUCAAAUCUUUGUUUAUAGUUGUUUGAGUUUGUCACCCUGAAAUUCUGGCGUGUAAUGGAAAUAAUAGAUCCUUUCUUUUGUAUUUAUGAAACGUUUACUUUUUGAUGGGAUUAUGUACAAAAUGAAUCAAAAUUUUAAAUAUAAAAUAAUAGAAUUCAAAUAUUAGAUGA
Molecule: long non-coding RNA, 798 nt
Organism: Camelina sativa (false flax)
Lineage: Eukaryota; Viridiplantae; Streptophyta; Magnoliopsida; Brassicales; Brassicaceae
Source: RefSeq, a predicted model, not a curated record